CCUCCUACGGGAGGCAGCAGUGGGGAAUAUUGCACAAUGGGCGCAAGCCUGAUGCAGCAACGCCGCGUGAGGGAUGACGGCCUUCGGGUUGUAAACCUCUUUUAGUAGGGAAGAAGCGAAAGUGACGGUACCUGCAGAAAAAGCACCGGCUAACUACGUGCCAGCAGCCGCGGUAAUACGUA
RNAcentral lists this ribosomal RNA (182 nucleotides) under uncultured Clavibacter sp. RNAcentral describes it as "partial 16S ribosomal RNA". It matches the Rfam family "Bacterial small subunit ribosomal RNA", at positions 335 to 529 of the family's 1533-position model. Lineage: Bacteria; Bacillati; Actinomycetota; Actinomycetes; Micrococcales; Microbacteriaceae. The record is from RNAcentral.